This 229-nucleotide long non-coding RNA is filed under the name Lathyrus oleraceus (garden pea). RNAcentral describes it as "Pisum sativum (pea) long non-coding RNA (PSAT_LNC010655)". The record is from RNAcentral. Lineage: Eukaryota; Viridiplantae; Streptophyta; Magnoliopsida; Fabales; Fabaceae.
UUGACUUUGAUCUUCUUUAUCUUUGGUCAAUGCUUGUUGAUUAUCUCAUUCUAUUUCCAUUAAUGCACUUUAAUUCUUCAUCUUCUUCUUCUUCUUCUUCUUUUUUUCUUUUUUUGAUCAAUGAGUUAGAGAUUGGUGGUUAGCAUUGAUACAUGGAGGUUUAAUCUUCCUUGAUUCAAAUCUAAUUCAUUUUGAUCAUGGAUCAAAUGAAUGACUUUGCAUUAAGGAU